Molecule: ribosomal RNA, 426 nt
Filed under: uncultured bacterium
Lineage: Bacteria
Description: bacterial SSU rRNA
Rfam family: Bacterial small subunit ribosomal RNA
Source: RNAcentral
AUUGAACGCUGGCGGAAUGCUUUACACAUGCAAGUCGAACGGUAGAGGGGGCAACCCCUUGAGAGUGGCGAACGGGUGAGUAAUAUAUCGGAACGUGCCCAGUCGUGGGGAUAACGUAGCGAAAGUUACGCUAAUACCGCAUACGAUCUAUGGAUGAAAGCGGGGGAUCGCAAGACCUCGCGCGAUUGGAGCGGCCGAUAUCAGAUUAGGUAGUUGGUGAGGUAAAGGCUCACCAAGCCGACGAUCUGUAGCUGGUCUGAGAGGACGACCAGCCACACUGGGACUGAGACACGGCCCAGACUCCUACGGGAGGCAGCAGUGGGGGAAUUUUGGACAAUGGGCGCAAGCCUGAUCCAGCAAUGCCGCGUGCAGGAUGAAGGCCCUUGGUUGUAACUAGCUUUGUUACGGUAACGGAAACGGUAGGAG